UUCUUGUUUUUAAGACCUAGCAAUAGGUAUGCUUAGGGAGGAGCUUGCGUCACAUUAGUUAGUUGGUGGGGUAAAGGCCUACCAAGACUAUGAUGUGUAGCCGGGCUGAGAGGUUGAACGGCCACAUUGGGACUGAGACACGGCCCAAACUCCUACGGGAGGCAGCAGUAGGGAAUUUUCGGCAAUGGAGGAAACUCUGACCGAGCAACGCCGCGUGAACGAUGAAGUAUUUCGGUACGUAAAGUUCUUUUAUUAGGGAAGAAUAAAUGAUGGAAAAAUCAUUCUGACGGUACCUAAUGAAUAAGCCCCGGCUAACUAUGUGCCAGCAGCCGCGGUAAUACAUAGGGGGCAAGCGUUAUCCGGAAUUAUUGGGCGUAAAGGGUGCGUAGGCGGUUAAAUAAGUUUAUGGUCUAAGUGCAAUGCUCAACAUUGUGAUGCUAUAAAAACUGUUUAGCUAGAGUAAGAUAGAGGCAAGUGGAAUUCCAUGUGUAGUGGUAAAAUGCGUAAAUAUAUGGAGGAACACCAGUAGCGAAGGCGGCUUGCUGGGUCUUUACUGACGCUGAGGCACGAAAGCGUGGGGAGCAAACAGGAUUAGAUACCCUGGUAGUCCACGCCGUAAACGAUGAGUACUAAACGUUGGGUAAAACCAGUGUUGAAGUUAACACAUUAAGUACUCCGCCUGAGUAGUACGUACGCAAGUAUGAAACUUAAAGGAAUUGACGGGACUCCGCACAAGCGGUGGAUCAUGUUGUUUAAUUCGAAGGUACCCGAAAAACCUCACCAGGUCUUGACAUGCUUCUGCAAAGCUGUAGAAACACAGUGGAGGUUAUCAGUUGCACAGGUGGUGCAUGGUUGUCGUCAGCUCGUGUCGUGAGAUGUUGGGUUAAGUCCCGCAACGAGCGCAACCCUUAUUGUUAGUUACCAGCACGUAAUGGUGGGGACUUUAGCAAGACUGCCAGUGAUAAAUUGGAGGAAGGUGGGGACGACGUCAAAUCAUCAUGCCCCUUAUGACCUGGGCUACAAACGUGAUACAAUGGCUGUUACAAAGGGUAGCUGAAGCGCAAGUUUUUGGCGAAUCUCAAAAAAACAGUCUCAGUUCGGAUUGAAGUCUGCAACUCGACUUCAUGAAGUUGGAAUCGCUAGUAAUCGCGAAUCAGCAUGUCCCGGUGAA
RNAcentral lists this ribosomal RNA (1171 nucleotides) under Candidatus Phytoplasma asteris group sp. Its description in RNAcentral is "bacterial SSU rRNA". It matches the Rfam family "Bacterial small subunit ribosomal RNA", at positions 182 to 1366 of the family's 1533-position model. Lineage: Bacteria; Bacillati; Mycoplasmatota; Mollicutes; Acholeplasmatales; Acholeplasmataceae. The record is from RNAcentral.